Non-coding RNA from Malus domestica (apple), 1110 nucleotides. The record is from RefSeq and is a predicted model, not a curated record. NCBI's taxonomy places the organism in Eukaryota, Viridiplantae, Streptophyta, Magnoliopsida, Rosales, Rosaceae.
CAUAUGUUGGUGUGCUAGUGAAGUCGGCAAACAUGCCUAUAAAUAGGUGUGUGUGUGUGUGUUGUAAGCAAGCAAGCAACCAAGAAAUCGAGAAGUGAAGAAGAAAAUAAGACUACAAGUCUUAUAGUGUGUUGAGUGUUUGUGAGAGUUGAGAGCUUUCUUUGUAAUAUUUUCCAUUAAAUAAAGUCUUUUGUUGUGUCUCAAAUUUUCGAGUGAAUUUCUUCUUUGACAUAUAAAAUUUAGAGUUGUUUAUUCUAAAUUUUUCUCAACAGUUCCAAGUCUCUAACUUGUAAUUAAUAUCCUUAUUGUAUUAGUCAACAAACUCCGCCGUGUAAGUUUAUCUUACAUUGCCGGUCCCAAGCCCGGAUAAAGGACGAGGGGGAGGGCGUCAGGUAGUCGACAGCCGGCACUCCAUGAUUACGUCGAAUCCUUAUGAAAAAUUGUAUUAAUUCAACAGGCAAAGCUAAUGUUCCAGCUGCAAGUGCAAAAGCCACAGCUCUUGAGAGACCUAGUGGUUUCAAAUCUGAUCGACACCCUCCUCUCAAGAGUUUGCCAUCCCAGUUUAUCAAGAAACACCUUGACCGGACUGUUGGUUAUGUCAUCCUUCGGGUUUUGGGUGGAAGAACUUGGUGUGUCAAAUUCGAACAAUAUGACACCGGAAGAUUGCAGAUUGCUGGGAGGUUGGAAGCAAUUUGUGCGAGAGAACAGUUUGGCAAUUGGCGAUGAGUGUGUCUUUACUGUGAUUAACACCACCAAACCUUUGUUUGAUGUUGUCAUUUCCCGGCAGCGGAUAGAAUGCUGCGACUUGCAACGUGAAUAACUGAAGGAGAAGACUGAAUCUGAAUAUUGCACCAUGAGUGACUGCUACCAAGGUGAAUUGAGUAUUAAGAGCAGAGGAACAAAGUGUCUGUAAAUUUAAUGAUGUGCAAACAUAAAUACCCCUAAGUUGAGUCUAUACGUUGUGCCUCCUGAUCCCUUUCGAAAGAUCAAUCUAGAAUCUUAUAUGUUGUGUUUUAUAUUUCAGUUGUCAUUUUGAACAGUUCAUCUUAAUAGGAAUACUCUAUUGUGAGAGUAAGGAUUAUUUAGUGGCAUGUGAAGUUGUGUGACUAC